This is an RNA transcript of Orcinus orca (killer whale), 3358 nucleotides long. It is a transcript of the gene named dolichyldiphosphatase 1, with no coding region annotated. Lineage: Eukaryota; Metazoa; Chordata; Mammalia; Artiodactyla; Delphinidae. The transcript is spliced from 9 exons. The record is from RefSeq and is a predicted model, not a curated record.
ACCACCGCCCCCCUGGCUCCCUAUUGGCUGCUCGGCGAAGCCCGGUCUCCGGGUAAGAUGGCAGCGGACGGACAGUGCUCGCUCCCCGCUUCAUGGCGGCCGGUGACCCUCACCCACGUCGAAUAUCCUGCAGGUGAUCUCUCUGGCCAUCUCCUUGCCUACCUGAGCCUCAGCCCCAUAUUUGUCAUCGUUGGUUUUGUGACCCUCAUCAUAUUCAAGCGGGAGCUGCACACGAUCUCGUUCCUUGGGGGCUUGGCACUGAACGAGGGGGUCAACUGGCUGAUCAAACACGUCAUCCAGGAGCCACGGCCCUGUGGAGGUCCCCACACGGCAGUGGGCACCAAGUACGGGAUGCCCUCCAGCCAUUCCCAGUUUAUGUGGUUCUUCUCCGUCUAUUCCUUCCUUUUUCUGUAUUUAAGAAUGCACCAAACGAACAACGCCAGGUUCCUGGACUUGCUGUGGAGGCAUGUACUCUCCCUGGGUCUCCUCACCGUGGCGUUUCUAGUCUCCUAUAGCAGGGUCUACCUGCUGUACCACACCUGGAGCCAGGUGCUCUAUGGGGGCAUCGCUGGAGGCCUCAUGGCCAUCGCCUGGUUCGUCUUCACGCAGGAGGUCCUCACCCCCCUGUUCCCUAGGAUAGCAGCCUGGCCUAUCUCUGAGUUCUUCCUAAUCCGAGACACGAGCCUCAUUCCCAACGUACUCUGGUUUGAGUACACGGUAACCCGGGCAGAAGCCAGGAACAGACAGCGCAAGCUGGGGACGAAACUGCAGUGACGGGUGAGUGUGGCUGUCUCCAGCCUCCAGAUCUGGCCUGCACGAUGCCUUGCAGGGUGGAUGGAAUGACAGACAGAGGGAUGAAGCAGAGACCUCUACAGACCCAAGUCACCGAGUGGAGCCUUUUUUUUCUUAUUUUAAUUUUAACGAACAAGGUGGACCAAAGGGCUGAGCCAGCCCCUCAGCCAGGACCCUGGAGGGCCUGUUGCCGGGGGGCCUCACAGCCAGAGACCCUCACAGUGCUGCUGCCAGCCCCCAGUUGGGCGGAAAGUGCCCCUGACGUGGGCACUGGGGCAUGGGGUAGAGAAGGAGGGCUUGAAUCUCUGGCCGCAGGGCCAGGAAAUGUAGGUGGCGUGAAAAAUGCACACUAUUUAUUUUUUGGUUUUGUCAAAGGCAGAUGGGAUUUUGGAGAGGGACUGGAAGACCCAGCUCUGCGGGGGCUGCCCUGCGUACCGAGGAGCCCAGGUCAGCUUCCCAGGCCCUUUGCCCUGGGCCCGAGAGAUGGCCUGGGGGCCCAGGAGGAGGGAGCACCCCCAUGCCCCCCCUGCCGCCAACGCCAUUCCAGAACCUCGGUCAGUGUUUCCCGUGUGGGAGCCAGGCCCAGAGAGAGCAGGCGUCUGCGCUGCCAUCGCUGUGUCCUACCCGCAUCGACCCUGCGCCGCAAGGGCUUUCUCUGGUUCCCUGUCCCCAAGACAGCGGUCCCUUUCUGAUGAAAGAGGCUGCGCCUGUGGGUGAGCAAACCCAAGCUGUUUACAGCUCUUUCCUGUCCUGCGUCCGCUAGUGGGUCGUCUUCAUCUCCACCCGAACAAAAUGCAGAGGAAGCAGGAGCUGGUGAGAGGAGUGGGGCAGCGGUGCCUACUGUCCCCACCCUUCCCUCCCCUCUGUGUGCUCUGAGCAUUCCUUGUCCUUCCCGACCCCCCUCCGAGAGGCUGGGAACCUGCUUGGGUCACCCCAAACCUGUGUCCGGGGUGUGGCUCACAGAUCCCCACUGCCCAGCUCGGAGGACGACUCCUCCCAAUCUUGAAGCCGCUUUGAAAUGGAGCUGUGGAGAGGAGAUGCGUCCAGACUUGGAAGCUUCUAGAACUGAACCAGGCUGCUCGGGACCUGUGUUCAGGGCCAGACCCCCCUCCCUCCCCCGGCCGCCUUUUCUUUGUGGAGGUUCCUAAUCUGCUGCUGAAGCACAAUAUUUUGGUGCUUUCUUUUCUCAUUUGUUAAAGACAGUGUCCAAAGCCAUUCCAGAUGCCAGGACCAGGGGCCUGUUUCUGGGGAAGCUUGAACAUGUUGACUGAGCUGAUGGGAGGAGCCGGGGACGUGGCUGUGCGGACACACAACCCGAGGGGCAAGGGCAUGGUUAAGACCAGAAGAUUGUGCGCGUCUCCAAGACACCUAGUCCCCUCCAGCCCCCAAAGCCAGGGUUGGAAUGGCCUCUGUGACAUACCCCACUGGGGUCUGAGGACAGCUCCCUUCCACUGAGUUUUUUUCGUCCCAGUCUACCUCCCCCUGUGGCACUGGCUGGCUCUGCUCUCAGUAAGCCUAGCUUCUCCUUCAUGUGACAGCCCUUGAAGACUGGGGAGAACCAGCAUGUCCUUCCUAAGCCUCUGCCAGGAUACAGACCUCCGCUCCUUGCUGAGUUCAGUGCUGCUUUAGCGUGCGGACAGGUGAGUAUCGUGCUUUGGAAGAAAUAACUGCAAACUGACCUGGGUUUCGGAUGCCUUGUAGGAGUGAAAAGAACACAAGCCAUUUCAGGGGUCCAAUGCGGGGGUUCUAACCCUUCUUUAAUUCAUUAACCUGAGAUUCAUAACAGCUUCACCCUCAGGCGAAUCAGAAGUAAUCCCAUCCUCACAUGAGCUCGAAGGCUGGGUUUGGGUUCCCCACCACGGUCCACACAACCUGGACAUUUAGUUAAGGUGACCUCAUCCCAGACGUGUGGCAGAAGCAAACAGAUCUCUGGAAGAAGGAACCUUCAUGCCAGACUUCAAUUAUUUAUACAGUUUUAAGAAACUACCAUGAACAAAAUAUAGACGAAGAUGACCGGGUAGGAAAGGAAUCACCACCAUCCUUGAGAACUAGCUGGAAACAAGUAUUAGAAACAAACCCGCACACACUUCAGGUGCUGGAAUGAUCGAGCACAGAUUUUAAGUUGUUUUACUUUUUUAAAGAAGUAAGGGACAAACUUGAAAAUAUCUGCAGGACUUCACUGGGCGUGCACUGGUUGAGAAUCCACCUGCCAGUGCAGGGGACACAGAUUUGAUCCCUGGUCCGGGAAGAUCUCACAUGUCAUGGAGCAGCUAAGCCCGUGUGCUACAACCACUGAGCUUGCGCUCUAGAGCCUGCGAGCCACAACUACUGAGCCCACGCACCACAACUACUGAAGCCCAUGAACUCUAGGGCCUGCGUGCUGCAACUGCUGAGCCCUUGUGCUGCAACUACUGAAGCCCACACGCCUAGAGCCCGUGCUCCACGAGAAGCCACUUCAAUGAGAAGCCCACGCACCACAACGAAGUAUAGCCCCCGCUCACCACAAAUGGAGAAAGCCCGCACGCAGCAACGAAGACCCAAGGCAGCCAGAAAUAAAUAUAUAUAU